AGUGCUCGAGUUCUUAAAGCUCGGUACUACCCAAAUACUGAUUUGCUAAAUGCCACGUUGGGAAAUGCCCCUUCCCAGGGGCUUAUCAAGAGGAUCGGUACCGGUGCAAGCACAAGUGUUUGGCAGGAUAACUGGCUGCCAAGGGAUUACAAGUUGAGGCCCAUCUGUGCCCUUUCAACGAACCCUCCAUUGAUGGUUUCAGACCUUAUCAAUCCUAUCACUUGGACAUGGAACAAGCAAGUCCUAGCUAACCACUUCAUUCCUGCUGAUGUUGAGGUUAUUCUCAAUAUACCACUCAGCACAAGGCAACAUGAGGACUUCUGGGCUUGGCAUUAUGAUAAGCGAGGUAUUUUUUCGGCAAGGUCAGCAUACAGGAUGAUUUGUGCUAUCAAAACUCAAAGAGAAGAUUGGCUAGAACACCGGCCAGGCCAUUCUAAUAUUACUACCGACAAGAACUCAUGGACCCAGUUGUGGAAGGUCAAGGUACCUUAAAAAAUCUGAGUUUUUGUGUGGCGUUUGGCGCAUACAUCAAUUCCAACAGGUUUUGUUAGACAUGAAAGGCAUAUGGCAGAUUCUCCAUCCUGCUCUAUCUGUGGUGCGGAGGAGGACACUUGGCGCCAUUCUCUACUCAGUUGUCGCAUGGCAAGAUGUGUUUGGGCUUUGGAAGAUGAUGAG
RNAcentral lists this ribosomal RNA (675 nucleotides) under Triticum aestivum (bread wheat). Its description in RNAcentral is "partial small subunit ribosomal RNA". The record is from RNAcentral. Lineage: Eukaryota; Viridiplantae; Streptophyta; Magnoliopsida; Poales; Poaceae.